Molecule: ribosomal RNA, 326 nt
Filed under: Allapsidae sp.
Lineage: Eukaryota; Cercozoa; Glissomonadida; Viridiraptoridae
Description: SSU rRNA
Rfam family: Eukaryotic small subunit ribosomal RNA (bases 115-326)
Source: RNAcentral
GAUUUCUGGCUUGGCGCGCCUGGCCCGCCACGGUUACGUGUGUGAGUGCUGGGUCGCGCCUGCCAUCUUACCACUUGGUGCUGUUUUACCCUUCAUUGGGUGAGGCAGUACUGAUGGUUCUUUUACUUUGAAAAAAUUAGAGUGUUUCAAGCGUGCGUUUUCGCUAUGAAUAGAUUAGCAUGGAAUAAUAAUCUAGGACUCCGGUCCUAUUUUGUUGGUUUCUAGGAUGGGAGUAAUGAUGUAUAGGGAUAGUUGGGGGUGCUAGUAUUCAGUGGCCAGAGGUGAAAUUCUCGGAUUCACUGAAGACUAACUACUGCGAAAGCAUU